UGAUCAUUGACAUGAAUUUAUUGGCUGGAAUUAUUUUGAUACUGGCAAUAAUUGCUGCUUCAUUAACUUUAAUUAAAUCUGAUAAUCAUGCAAGUCUUGACGAAGAUGUACCAAGAGUCAAAAUAAAAGUAUUUCGAGAAGAAACAGAAAAAAAUAAAGAUGGUGAAUUAUUUACACGAUGGGGAUAUUGGAUUUCACAGCCAAAUAAUUCAUAAUAGUU
Molecule: long non-coding RNA, 220 nt
Organism: Aphidius gifuensis
Lineage: Eukaryota; Metazoa; Arthropoda; Insecta; Hymenoptera; Braconidae
Exons: 3
Source: RefSeq, a predicted model, not a curated record